This 224-nucleotide long non-coding RNA is filed under the name Cyanistes caeruleus (blue tit). RNAcentral describes it as "lncRNA (ENSCCEG00000017882.1)". Lineage: Eukaryota; Metazoa; Chordata; Aves; Passeriformes; Paridae. The record is from RNAcentral.
AGAAAAAGGAGUUUACACUCCUGGGCAGCUGAAGUGAGUUCUCUCCUAUCAGUCCAUCUGAAUUGCCUGACAUGAUGCUGCUUCCUUGUAGCAGGAAGUGCUGAACAGGCACCGGAUCCAGAAUCAAGGAAUCUCUAAAAUUCUCUAAAAAAUGAGUCAGUUUUUAAGGCACCAGCGACAAGAUCCAGCCCCUUCUAGAGAAAGAGAAGUCUGAGACACUUGGA